RNAcentral lists this ribosomal RNA (332 nucleotides) under uncultured eukaryote. RNAcentral describes it as "partial 18S ribosomal RNA". It matches the Rfam family "Eukaryotic small subunit ribosomal RNA", at positions 1470 to 1796 of the family's 1831-position model. The record is from RNAcentral.
CCCUUAGAUGUCCUGGGCUGCACGCGCGCUACACUGGAAGUUACGGAUUGAGAUACUACCUUGUCCGAAAUGGUCCGGGUAAUCACCUAAAAGCUUGUCAUAAUUGGAAUGGAUUAUUGUAACUAGUAAUCCUGAACGAGGAAUUCCUAGUAAGUCCCAGUCAACAGCUGGUACUGAUUACGUCCCUGCCCUUUGUACACACCGCCCGUCGCUACUACUAAUUGGACGUUUAAGCAAGAUUUUUAAACACUGACAGUGUGUAGUUCACGCUAUACUACAGUGAGAAGAAGAAGAUCGAGCUUACUUGUCUAGAGGAAGUAAAAGUCGUAACA